AAAGCGUGCGCAGGCGGUUUUGUAAGACUGUCGUGAAAUCCCCGGGCUCAACCUGGGAAUGGCGAUGGUGACUGCAAGGCUAGAGUUUGGUAGAGGGGGGUAGAAUUCCACGUGUAGCAGUGAAAUGCGUAGAUAUGUGGAGGAACACCGAUGGCGAAGGCAGCCCCCUGGGUCAAAACUGACGCUCAUGCACGAAAGCGUGGGGAGCAAACAGGAUUAGAUACCCCUGU
RNAcentral lists this ribosomal RNA (230 nucleotides) under uncultured bacterium. Its description in RNAcentral is "partial 16S ribosomal RNA". It matches the Rfam family "Bacterial small subunit ribosomal RNA", at positions 562 to 791 of the family's 1533-position model. The record is from RNAcentral.